Molecule: ribosomal RNA, 253 nt
Filed under: uncultured bacterium
Lineage: Bacteria
Description: partial 16S ribosomal RNA
Rfam family: Bacterial small subunit ribosomal RNA
Source: RNAcentral
UACGUAGGUGGCAAGCGUUGUCCGGAUUUACUGGGCGUAAAGAGCGCGCAGGCGGCUGGUCAAGUCCGAUGUGAAAUCUCCCGGCUUAACUGGGAAACUGCAUCGGAAACUGAUCGGCUUGAAGGUGGGAGAGGGUAGUGGAAUUCCCGGUGUAGUGGUGAGAUGCGUAGAUAUCGGGAGGAAUACCAGUGGCGAAGGCGGCCUUCUGGACGGAUACUGACGCUGAGGCGCGAAAGCCAGGGGAGCAAACGGG